GAUGAAGAACGCAGUGAAAUGCGAUAAGUAAUGUGAAUUGCAGAAUUCAGUGAAUCAUCGAAUCUUUGAACGCACCUUGCGCCCUUUGGCCAUUCCGAAGGGCAUGCCCGUUUGAGUAUCAUGAACACCUCAACUCUUUAUGGUUUUCCAUGAUGAGCUUGGACUCUGGGGGUUUUGCUGGCUCACAGUCGGCUCCUCUAAAAUGAAUCAGCUUACCAGUGUUUGGUGGGUAUCAUGGGUGUGAUAACUAUCUACGCUUGUGGUUUUUCCACCAGGUAACCUUCAGCAGUGGAGGUUCGCUGGAGCUCAUAGAUGUCUCUCCUCAGUGAGGACAGCCCUUUGAAUGUUUGAUCUCAAAUCAGGUAGGACUACCCGCUGAACUUAAGCAUAUCAAUAAGCGGAGGA
This 405-nucleotide unclassified non-coding RNA is filed under the name soil metagenome. RNAcentral describes it as "partial contains 5.8S ribosomal RNA, internal transcribed spacer 2, and large subunit ribosomal RNA". The stretch from base 1 to 121 matches the Rfam family "5.8S ribosomal RNA", at positions 35 to 154 of the family's 154-position model. The record is from RNAcentral.